UGACCGUGACGAGGGCGGCGCAUUGAU
RNAcentral lists this small RNA (27 nucleotides) under Bombyx mori (domestic silkworm). RNAcentral's name for it is "ovarian small RNA-31626". Lineage: Eukaryota; Metazoa; Arthropoda; Insecta; Lepidoptera; Bombycidae. The record is from RNAcentral.